This 433-nucleotide ribosomal RNA is filed under the name uncultured bacterium. RNAcentral describes it as "partial 16S ribosomal RNA". It matches the Rfam family "Bacterial small subunit ribosomal RNA", at positions 29 to 507 of the family's 1533-position model. The record is from RNAcentral.
AACGAACGCUGGCGGCAUGCCUAACACAUGCAAGUCGAACGAGACCUUCGGGCCUAGUUGCGCACGGGUGCGUAACGCGUGGUAACCUGCCCUUAGGUUCGGAAUAACUCCCCGAAAGGUGUGCUAAUACCGGUUAAUGUCUUCGGACCAAAGAUGUAUCGCCUUUGGAUGGGCCCGCGUUGGAUUAGCUAGUUGGUAGGGUAAAAGCCUACCAAGGCGACGAUCCAUAGCUGGUCUGAGAGGAUGAUCAUCCACACUGGGACUGAGACACGGCCCAGACUCCUACGGGAGGCAGCAGUAGGGAAUAUUGGACAAUGAGCGAAAGCCUGAUACAGCAGUGCCGCGUGAGUGAUGAAGGCCUUAGGGUUGUAAAGCUCUUUUACACGGGAUGAUAAUGACAGUAACGGGAGAAUAAGCUCCGGCUAACUACGUG